CUUCUGAGCAGUGACCUUAAAUGCUAAUUGAGUGGCUGGCCUUCUGAACAGUUCUCCAGGCCAAGAAUUCAACAUCAGAUGUCAUUAGAGCCCAGAAGUCUAAGGGGAAGAAAGGUUUAUCUCCAGCCUGUGGGAGCCCCAGCAACACUAUAUGAAACAACAAAGAGAAACCAGACCGAGAGGAAACACCUGUGCGGCAGCUGUCUGGUAAAGGACUUGUACCCAGGGGAUCUGAGGAAUGCUGGCUCACAAGAGGACAAACUCUCAGUAAAAAGUGGACAGAAGAUUGGAACAGAUUCUUCAUCAAAGACAACAUUUGUAUGGCAACACCCACUUUUUGCCAUGAUACUUCCAUUUACUGUAUGCCCAGAAAAAACAGAACAAAGGAUCACAGAUUGAAACAUCAAAAUUUGUGAUCUAAUA
Mus caroli (Ryukyu mouse) is the source of this 423-nucleotide long non-coding RNA. RefSeq lists it as uncharacterized. NCBI's taxonomy places the organism in Eukaryota, Metazoa, Chordata, Mammalia, Rodentia, Muridae. The record is from RefSeq and is a predicted model, not a curated record.